This 319-nucleotide ribosomal RNA is filed under the name uncultured eukaryote. Its description in RNAcentral is "partial 18S ribosomal RNA". It matches the Rfam family "Eukaryotic small subunit ribosomal RNA", at positions 1470 to 1796 of the family's 1831-position model. The record is from RNAcentral.
CCCUUAGAUGUUCUGGGCUGCACGCGUGCUACAAUGGCGUUUCCAGCAAGUCUGCGAACCCGAGAGGGCCAGCGGAUCUUCGAAUUGGCGUCGUGAUCGGGACAGUCGAUUGCAAUUAUUUGACUCAAACGAGGAAUUCCUUGUAAUCGCGAUUCAUCAUAUCGCGCUGAAUACGUCCCUGCCCUUUGUACACACCGCCCGUCGCUCCUACCGAUUGAGCGAUCCGGUAAAUGUUUUGGAUUGGUGCCGGGACGGCUAGCUGCCGGUCGCUACGAAAUUUUGUGAACCUUAUCGCUUAGAGGAAGGAAAAGUCGUAACA